RNAcentral lists this transfer RNA (71 nucleotides) under Coris pictoides (blackstripe wrasse). RNAcentral describes it as "tRNA-Val". It matches the Rfam family "tRNA". From Rfam's summary of the family: Transfer RNA (tRNA) molecules are approximately 80 nucleotides in length. The record is from RNAcentral. Lineage: Eukaryota; Metazoa; Chordata; Actinopteri; Labriformes; Labridae. RNAcentral also lists the same sequence under 1 other name.
CAUGGUAUAGCUUAACAUUAAAGCAUCUCCUUUACACCGAGACAAUACUCGUGAAAAUCGGGUUACCUUGA